RNAcentral lists this ribosomal RNA (396 nucleotides) under uncultured bacterium. RNAcentral describes it as "partial 16S ribosomal RNA". It matches the Rfam family "Bacterial small subunit ribosomal RNA", at positions 523 to 918 of the family's 1533-position model. The record is from RNAcentral.
AUACGUAGGGGACGAGCGUUGUCCGGAAUUACUGGGCGUAAAGGGCGCGCAGGCGGAUAUUUAAGUCAGCUGUAAAAGGCAUGAGCUCAACUCAUGUAUGCGGUUGAAACUGCAGGACUUGAGUGCUGGAGGGGAUAGCGGAAUUCCUAGUGGAGCGGUAAAAUGCGCAGAUAUUAGGAAGAACACCGGUGGCGAAGGCGGAUAUCUGGAAAGUAACUGACGCUGAGGCGCAAAAGGGUGGGGAGCAAACAGGAUUAGAUCCCCUGGUAGUCCACGCCGUAAACGAUGAAUACUAGGUGUAGGGGGUAUCGACUCCCUCUGUGCCGCAGUUAACACAAUAAGUAUUCCGCCUGGGGAGUACGGCCGCAAGGUUGAAACUCAAAUGAAUUGACGGGG